RNAcentral lists this ribosomal RNA (253 nucleotides) under uncultured bacterium. Its description in RNAcentral is "partial 16S ribosomal RNA". It matches the Rfam family "Bacterial small subunit ribosomal RNA", at positions 524 to 776 of the family's 1533-position model. The record is from RNAcentral.
UACAGGGGGGGCAAGCGUUGUUCGGAAUUACUGGGCGUAAAGGGCCAGUAGGCGGCCAACUAAGUCACACGUGAAAUCCCCAGGCUUAACCUGGGAACUGCGUGUGAUACUGGAUGGCUUGAAUUCGGGAGAGGGAUGCAGAAUUCCAGGUGUAGCGGUGAAAUGCGUAGAUAUCUGGAGGAAUACCGGUGGCGAAGGCGGCAUCCUGGACCGGCAUUGACGCUGAUGAGCGAAAGCUAGGGGAGCAAACGGG